Molecule: long non-coding RNA, 1554 nt
Organism: Leopardus geoffroyi (Geoffroy's cat)
Lineage: Eukaryota; Metazoa; Chordata; Mammalia; Carnivora; Felidae
Exons: 3
Source: RefSeq, a predicted model, not a curated record
GGUCUGAGAGGUGGGCUGAGGGGAGUGGCCAAGUUUUGAGAAAAGCGGAGUGGUGAGCGGGAGGACGCGCCUGAUGCUGAGAGCCCGAGGCCAAGGGCGCGGCGGUCUUGGAGCGCUGAGGAAGGUUUGGCGAGCGGAGCGGGUCAGCUCGUUUCUGUGGUGUAACCUCCCCCACCCCCGCUCCCGCCCUUCCGGACCCUUCCGUGCUCAGGUGUGGGCCUCACUCGGUGCAGUCUGCGGGAGGUUGCAAAGCUUUAGUUUCGCGUUUGUAGCAUAACCGGCAAUCCCAGUGAACAGGUUUUCCAGCCAAAUGAAGGGCAGCCAAACGGAAGGCUACAAUUUUCCCUUCCCAACCAGGGAUGGCAUCGUCAUCGUGGAAAACCUAGAGGAAGAAAAAGAAGCCACAGUGAAAAAAAUAACAGGAUAAGACAGUGACUCUCACUAGACAACUGCUGCUGCUAAAAGUUAUUUCUAACAGGGAACAGGAACUUUCCUGACAGGCAUUGUUGCUCAGAGUCAGAAGAGGUCAAAGAAGCCAGGCAAGAUUUCAGCAAAGGAAGAAUGGACGCAAUAGCAGGAGCUACAGACACAGCCAACAUUCAGACAGCGGGAGAAAAUGCUCAUGCAAUCCACGGACAGAGAAAUGAGCAGGGACGAGAAUCACAGGAGCACAGUAACGUUAGAAACUGAGAUUCCAAGGGGCCUUAUGCUUCCUGUACCAAAGGUACGAGACCAGGGUGCCUGGGUGGCUCAGCUGGUUAAGUGACCACCUGUGCUGACAGCACAGAGCCUGCGUGGGAGUCUCUCUCUCCCUCUCUUUCUCUGUCCUUCCCCUGCUAGCAUGCUCUCUCUCUCUCAAAAUAAAUAAAUAAACUUAAAAAAAUAAAAAUAAAGGUACAAGACCUACCUUAUCUCUUGGCUACACAGGAUCUAUAUGUGUGGGUCCCAUGGUUUUUAGCUCAAAUUCCUUGGUCCACAUCUUAUCUCUACCCUUUGUAUAGGUACUUAAGGAAAAUUUUUAAUUAAUAAGUACCUAUGAUUAUGACUUUAAUAGGAGAAAAGACUAAUUAGAAACUUUUAUCAUAAGAACGAACAACAAUUAUUGUUGUAUCUUAUAAUCUACUUAAUGUGGUUGUUAUAAUCCUAAAAUCUCUCCUGCAAUUCCACUUACACAUAUUUUCUUAACUUAUUCUAGGCAUUUCAACAUCCUUUUCAUAUCUGAGUCUACUCUCGCGUAGACACUGAUGGACUCUUAACAGUGGCUUGCAUCUUUCUUGCUUUUGUGGAUGUCUCCUAAUUUACUACUGAAUGUCAGACAUCAUAUGUAAGACAGUAGAGAAUGACUUACAAAAUGUUUAUGUUUAGAAAUGCGCACACUGCUUGUUCCCCAGCCAUUAGUAGGGAUUGUUAAUCUAGACAGGAAUUGAGCUGGGAUUGGGAUUUUUGUUAAGGUUACUUUUGGUGUACCACCAUCUUUAAAUUCCUCUAGAAUUAUGUUUAUUUAAAAACAGAUUUAAAAAAUAAAUAAAAAGAAAAGGAUUCACCCAACUUCUA